This 2114-nucleotide unclassified non-coding RNA is filed under the name Helicoverpa zea (corn earworm). Its description in RNAcentral is "dihydropyrimidinase, transcript variant X1". The record is from RNAcentral. Lineage: Eukaryota; Metazoa; Arthropoda; Insecta; Lepidoptera; Noctuidae.
UCGCGUACGGCGCGCCGGUCGCCAUUCUCGGCGUAACAUAACAUAAAACGCGAAUAAUUAACGUUUAAACUUGCUUAUUGGUCAGUUUUGCAAUCGAAAUUUGAAAAAUGACUGUUGAUUCCACCCCGACUUCGGUUUCUGGUAUCAAUAUAAAAAGCUCCCAAAACCGUCUGCUCAUCAAAAAUGGGAGGGUUGUCAACGAUGACGGAAUGGAAGAUCUGGAUGUCUACAUUGAAGAUGGCGUCAUCAAACAAAUCGGGCGCAAUCUCAUCAUCCCCGGAGGCACCAGGACCAUCGAUGCCACUGGCAAGCUGGUGAUGCCAGGAGGCAUUGACCCUCACACGCACUUCGAACUGGAGAUGAUGGGCGCCAAGUCCGCUGAUGACUUUUAUAAGGGGACCAGAGCGGCCAUCGCUGGGGGAACAACUUGUGUCAUUGACUUUGUACUGCCGCAGAAGGGCCAGUCUUUGCUGGAGGCGUACAAUAAUUGGAGGGAGAAAGCUGACAACAAGGUAUGCUGCGACUACGCUCUCCACGUAGGAGUGACCUGGUGGUCUCCCGCAGUCAAGAAGGAGAUGCAACAGUUGACUUCAGAGCAGUAUGGAGUCAACUCCUUCAAGAUGUUCAUGGCAUAUAAGGAUGCGUGGAUGCUGGAUGACUAUGACCUGUAUUGUGCGAUGGAGGCAUGUGCUGAGCUUAGGGCUUUGCCCCAGGUACAUGCUGAAAACGGUCACAUAAUUGCCCGUAACACUGAGAAGUUACUUGCCAAAGGUCUGACGGGUCCCGAGGGUCACCAGCUGUCCCGAGAUGAGGAGGUGGAAGGAGAGGCUGUUAACAGGGCCUGUGUCAUCGCUAACCAGGCGAACUGCCCCCUAUACAUAGUGCACAUGAUGUCCAAGAGCGCAGUCCGCUACCUGCAGCUGGCGCGCGGGAAGCAACGACAUGCACUCUUCGGAGAAACCCUCGCCGCUACUGUGGGGACCGAUGGCAGCCACUACCGCAACGCGUGCUUCCGUCACGCGGCGGCGCACGUGCUGUCGCCGCCGCUGCGCCCGGACCCCGACACGCCACGCGCCGUGUGCGAGGCGCUGGCUGAUGACCAUCUCCAACUGAUAGGCAGCGACAACUGCACGUUCCACGAGAAGGACAAGGAGCUUGGCAAGGAUAACUUCGCUAAGAUUCCCAACGGCGUCAACGGCGUGGAGGAUCGCAUGGCAGUUUUGUGGCAGAAUGCUGUUAACACCGGUAUAAUGGACCCGUGCCGCUUCGUAGCAGUGACCAGCUCCAAUGCUGCCAAGAUCUUCAACAUCUGGCCGCAGAAGGGACGGAUUGCACUGAACAGUGACGCCGACAUCGUCAUCUGGGACCCCAAGCUUGAGAGAACCAUCUCUGCUGCCACACACAAGCAGGCUGUUAACUUUAAUAUUUUUGAGGGCCAACACGUAGUGGGCAGCCCUCAGUACGUGAUUGUCAACGGUCGCGUUUGUCUCGACGACGGAGAACUUAGAGUUGUUGAAGGUUUCGGCAAAUUCCUGAAGACUCCGGUAGACGCUCCCAUCGUCUACGGCGAGACAAACAACCACCACGAGGAAGUACAGCACAGACCUGGGUACCUGGACACUCCCACACGAGUCACUAACGGAACUCCUUCCCCGGAUCUAGGCCAGCUGACGAAGAGCAUGGAGAGCGUCUCCGUGUCGGGCUGCAGCACCCCCACGGGACGCAAGAUGCGCGAGCCGGGACAGAGGAACCUGCAGACAUCCACCUUCUCCAUCAGCAAAGAGACAGAGGGUCUGGACACGAAGACAUCAGUUCGCGUGCGGAACCCUCCCGGCGGGAAGUCCUCCGGCCUCUGGUAGACUCGCUUCGGAUAUGCACCGCUGCUUCUCGCCUACGGGACUCAAGCAGCGCGAGCCGGGACAGAGGAACAUGCAUACUUCUACUUUCUCUAUUAGCAAAGAGACGGAGGGUCGGGACAAGAGGACACUAGUACACUUGAAGUACCCUCCCGGAGGAAAGUGCUCCGAAUUCUGGUAGACAGUAGACAAUCUUCGUAGAAUUCUGACGUGAUUUUCACACUUUGCCUGUGAAAAGCAAUAGGUACAUACUUAAAC